This is a small nuclear RNA of Cricetulus griseus (Chinese hamster), 104 nucleotides long. The record is from Ensembl. NCBI's taxonomy places the organism in Eukaryota, Metazoa, Chordata, Mammalia, Rodentia, Cricetidae.
GUACUCCCUUCAGCAGCACAUAUACUAAAAUUGGAUUGAUACAGAGAUUAGCAUGGCCCCUGCGCAAGGAUGACAUGAAAAUUUAUGAAGCGUUCCAUAUUUUU